This 434-nucleotide long non-coding RNA is filed under the name Heterocephalus glaber (naked mole-rat). RNAcentral describes it as "lncRNA (ENSHGLG00100051976.1)". The record is from RNAcentral. Lineage: Eukaryota; Metazoa; Chordata; Mammalia; Rodentia; Bathyergidae.
AUUCCAGAUUGCUUGUGCAGGUGUUUUCGUUCAAAGGAGGUGGAGAGCAGCUCCCCAGCCCUUAAGUGUGAGCAGUGCACACACAGUGACUUCCUUCCACAGAGUACGGUGUAGAAGAGUGUGGUGGAGAGAGUCUCCGAACGGUGGAGAAAGCUGGCAAACACUACCUUUAUCAAUUGCGAAGGUCAAUGCCAAGGAGUCCGGCUAUGCGAGCCAGGAGGUGGAUGUGGAGAAGUGGGGGAAGCUAUGCCAGUGUCCUGAUGAGAGGUCGCUGUGGAGAUAAAGAUCAAGACAUUUGGUAGGCAAAGCUGGCUGGACUUGAAAGGUUGGAUACAGGGGCAGAGGGAAGGGAAACGCCAAGGAUGCCGCCUGGUGUCUGGUCUGCACCGCAGGAGCAGAUGGUGAGAAGCCGAGGGGUGUGCAACAGAUCAUGG